GGCCAGUUAGCUCAGUUGGUCAGAGCAUGGUGCUGAGAACACCAAGGUCAAGGGUUCGAAUCCCUAUACCGGCCA
Molecule: non-coding RNA, 75 nt
Organism: Galeopterus variegatus (Sunda flying lemur)
Lineage: Eukaryota; Metazoa; Chordata; Mammalia; Dermoptera; Cynocephalidae
Source: the annotation of a RefSeq genome assembly